UUAGAUGAGGCGCAUCAAUCAUUAGUAAAUUUUAGAACAAACUAUCUGCUAGUAGCUAAAAUUGAAAGGGUGAGAUGCCGAAACGACAAUAAUAGCAGCUUAUUGUUUUGUUGGACUUUGUGGUUAAGAGCUUAAGGUCUGUCAUUAUUUAAAAUAAUGGAGUGCAUC
This 168-nucleotide non-coding RNA is filed under the name Staphylococcus arlettae. RNAcentral describes it as "Lysine riboswitch". It matches the Rfam family "Lysine riboswitch aptamer". Rfam says of the family: Riboswitches are metabolite binding domains within certain messenger RNAs that serve as precision sensors for their corresponding targets. Lineage: Bacteria; Bacillati; Bacillota; Bacilli; Caryophanales; Staphylococcaceae. The record is from RNAcentral.